RNAcentral lists this transfer RNA (72 nucleotides) under Cryphonectria parasitica EP155. It matches the Rfam family "tRNA". Rfam says of the family: Transfer RNA (tRNA) molecules are approximately 80 nucleotides in length. The record is from Rfam by way of RNAcentral. Lineage: Eukaryota; Fungi; Ascomycota; Sordariomycetes; Diaporthales; Cryphonectriaceae.
GGUCUGCUGGCCCAAUGGCAAGGCGUCUGACUACGAAUCAGGAGAUUACAGGUUCGAUCCCUGUGUAGAUCA